This 524-nucleotide long non-coding RNA is filed under the name Ananas comosus (pineapple). RNAcentral's name for it is "long non-coding RNA (ACOM_LNC006232)". Lineage: Eukaryota; Viridiplantae; Streptophyta; Magnoliopsida; Poales; Bromeliaceae. The record is from RNAcentral.
GUUGUAUAUAUAUGCUAGUGAAGUUAUCUGUGCAUUGCGAUGAGUUAAUAUUAUAGAAGAUAAAAGAUUGACAAAAUUAAAAUUUUAAAAUUUUUUAAUUUGUAAUGAGACAUUAAUAAAUAUAAAUAAAAAAUAUAAAACAGAUAUAUACAAAUGUGGCAAAAGUUACAACAGCAAAUAAAUUAUACAUAACAAUAGUGAAAUAAAUUAUACAUAACAAUAGUGAAAGUUACAACAGCAAAUAGAUAUUCUUUUUUUUAAACGAUUUGUUUAAAAAAAAAAAGAUCAUAUGAAUAUAUUAUUUAGAAAGUGGGCGGGUGGGAAGAUGAAGCAUUGGGUAGAGAUGAGGUGGGAAGGCGAAGCAUCAAAGAGUGUGGAGAGGGGGUGAAGGAAGAACUGCUACAUUGCAAAUUCCAUGAGAAAUAAUUUAUAGGUAUAGAUGUAUAACUAGUCAUUGUUAGAUAUAUGACUAGUCAUUUCCAUCUCUCCAUCUCUCCAUCUCUUACCUCAUAUGUCAAUUUCUU